This 1062-nucleotide unclassified non-coding RNA is filed under the name Hevea brasiliensis (rubber tree). Lineage: Eukaryota; Viridiplantae; Streptophyta; Magnoliopsida; Malpighiales; Euphorbiaceae. The record is from RNAcentral.
UUCCGUAGUACAUGUGAAAAAAAAGUAAGUCUAUCUUUGUGGACAUAAUAAACAUUAUUAUUAUUAUUAUAUAAUUCAGAGAUGCUGCGUGAAAUAAAAUAAUUGAUUAAGUUGACAUUUCUGGGUCUAAAUUAAUGAACCCACGAAAUUGCUAAUGCUGUUUUAUAAGCCACACAAUGAAGACAACAAUUAUAAAGAGUGAAAUGUAGAUUACAUCUUCAUCUCCUUUCCUUCAAGUUCAGCUCACUUCCUAGUGAUUUUCUUGAUUUUCUAAAAGUUUGAAAUGAAAUGUCAACCAAACAAGCUGAAUUUAUUAUAAUUUUAUGAGAAUUUAAACCUCAUAAGUGAACUUCCAACCAAACAAAAUGUAAUUAUAUAAUACUAUAUUCAAAAGAUAGCAUUGAAUUUUAUUGAAUUUGCUUUUCAACCACUAAAUAAAUAAAUAACAUUCAUUCAAAGAUUAAUUCAAUUAGUAAGGAUUUAAUUUCUCCUACUCCUGGUUACACCAAACCGGUAUUUCUCCAUUACCUGCCUUAAAGCUUUCGUUUUAAUUUUUGGAGAAGCAAGGAUUUUGUAAUAAUGUAGGCUAGCCACCAUGACAUAGAUUUAAAAUUAUGAUUUACACUAAAAAUUAUCUCCAGGUAAUGCAGAUACUAAAAUGGAGAUAUCUUUGCUUUCAGGGAUUCUGAUGAGAAGUUUAAGAAAGCAGGAGCUGAGGUUGUUGGAAUCAGCGGUGAUGAUCCAUCAUCGGCUUAUCGCACAAGGUAACAGAAGAACGUAUUUUUCUUUCUUGGAGAAUGCUUAACGUUAAAAAUAUUUUCACAAUUUAGUUGGAUAUUAAUAACUCUUAAGAAUGAGAUAACAACUAUCUUUACCAGCCUUAGUUUUUGUAACCGUUCCUAAACUCCUACUCCUAGCAUUCUCCUAAGUCGUAGUGAAGUCCCCAACUGAGCUAAAGCUAGUCAAUUUGCACACCUAAAAUGUAAUACCUUCAUCCUUACUGAAAAUCAUUUUUCCUUUAUUUCCAGGACUGUAGAAUUUAGCCAAUUGGAGCAUCUAAAA